GAGAAUUUGAACCCAGGGUUUCCUGGCUCUGAGGGCUGUUCUCUACCUGCUAUAAUUAUGCUGGCUUUCACACCUCUUCCUUUUAAAUUGUAGCCAUUGCAGACCAGCAUAGUUUGCCUGUUGAAAAGUUGAACCUUUCUGAAAAUCUCUAUUUUUCAAAGUUUUUUCAGCAUAAUCUCUACAUCUUCAGUUUGUAUUGUUGUUGGCUCAAUGACCAUUCUUUGGUGCUCACUACUUGCUGAGAAUGCAAUCUCCAAAGUACUCUGAGUGUUUAAUCUUUGAAUCAACUCAAGAAGAUGGAGUUACCCCAACUGGAAAACUCCAGCCUGAUUUCAAGGAAAUUGCAGCUGCAACAAUAAGAUAGAAAUUCAACUAGUUUGGAGGAGGCAAGGAUGAAAGGAUAGAGAGCCAAAGGAAUUAAGUUACAUGGAAGAAUAUACAAGAGCUCCUUUAGGAAAUAAACCUAUAACAGGAACCAUGGGCCCCUGAUCUCCUAGGCAGCAGAACCAGCCUGUGUUGGUAUGACUGUACAGUCUGUGUCUUUGUCAUCCAGAAAAGAAUGACUCUUCCCAUGAGUUAUCACUUCUCAGCAGCAUGUUACAAUGGACUAUUUUAGGGGACCUGGCCUUGGUGAGAAUUGUAGAGAAUGAGUUGGAAAGGUGGGCUUUUACAUCCUGAGGAAGAUCUGUUGCCAGAACUCUGCUAGCAUCACAGAUUUAGAACAAGGGGACUUCAAUUUGACAUACAGACACUAUAUGAGGAAGCUGCAAAAACAGUAGUCACUAAGGAAGAUAACUUCAUGGAAAAUGAGAAUAGAGGGUGGAAGAGAGGAUUUCCCACUGCUUUCCUGGAAGAACCCAUUUUUCCCAGAAGCAAAGGGUUCCACUAUCCCUUUAUUUUAAAAAUAGUUCCCUUUCUAUUAGCAGCCAGGUUCCAAGCCCUUCCCAAUCCUGCCACCCCAGGAGAUACUUAACUCCCACAGAGAACUGCAGUGGGGCCACUUAAAACCUACAGGAACUCAACCCCUGUGAGUAGAGGCACUGCCCACCCUGAAGCUUUCUCCAUCAGCUACAAUCCUCUCGUGAAUAUUAACUGAGUAACUGACAUAUGGACACCAUUCAUCAUCUUUGUGAGAGAGUAACACCCAAAGUAAACACUUGGGAGAGUAAUUGGCUGUUACAACAUCCUUGCAUUACAGGAUCAUUGUAUGCUUUUCCCUGAUUCUUAUAAAACAGGAGAGGAAAGAAGUUUUCUUUUUUUUACUGAGUACAAUGAAAUCUAAUGCACAACACAAGUUCCCUACUUUUCAGCAGACAAUGACAAUGGAAACAAUGCUUCAACUUUUCCUUCUCCUCCCCAACCCCCAUCAAAAAAAGAAAAAAGAAAGAAGAAAGUAGA
Molecule: long non-coding RNA, 1398 nt
Organism: Sarcophilus harrisii (Tasmanian devil)
Lineage: Eukaryota; Metazoa; Chordata; Mammalia; Dasyuromorphia; Dasyuridae
Exons: 3
Source: RefSeq, a predicted model, not a curated record